AAAUGAUACCUUUGAGCUCGAACGAUCGUGGUUGAAGCAGUCAUACAGGAAUUUUUAUUCCUCUAAACAGCUUUAGGGAAAGUCCCCGGACUCUUGCGUCUUGAUCUCCAUGGAGAUUGGGACAGGCGGUAACGUGCUGACUUGAAGAAUCAGCGGUUUCAUUAAUGGCGCUAGUUUUUCCUUUAGCCUUUGUACUUUAAACCUCAAGAGAUAUAACUCCUUGUCCAGAAUGGAGUAGAUAAGGAAUACAGUCUAUGAGUUGUGUUUCUUGAGCGUCUAGUGUACGAACGGUAUGGUUGAUUACGCCAUUUCUGAAUUGUGGUUUUUCGUCGUAGUUGAUAGUUAUACGGUCGCAUCCAUUUGUUGAUGUAUCACAAUGGGGCUUAGUCUCGUGCUCAA
Molecule: long non-coding RNA, 399 nt
Filed under: Schizosaccharomyces pombe (fission yeast)
Lineage: Eukaryota; Fungi; Ascomycota; Schizosaccharomycetes; Schizosaccharomycetales; Schizosaccharomycetaceae
Description: RNAse MRP
Rfam family: RNase MRP
About the family: RNase MRP is an enzymatically active ribonucleoprotein with two distinct roles in eukaryotes. In mitochondria it plays a direct role in the initiation of mitochondrial DNA replication. In the nucleus it is involved in precursor rRNA processing, where it cleaves the internal transcribed spacer 1 between 18S and 5.8S rRNAs.
Source: RNAcentral